AUUGAACGCUGGCGGCAUGCUUUACACAUGCAAGUCGAACGGCAACGCGGAGAAGCUUGCUUCUCUGUCGGCGAGUGGCGAACGGGUGAGUAUAGCAUCGGAACGUGCCAAGUAGUGGGGGAUAACCAAACGAAAGUUUGGCUAAUACCGCGUAAGCUCCAAGGAGGAAAGUAGGGGACCUAAAUAAGGCCUUACGCUAUUUGAUCGGCCGAUGUCGGAUUAGCUAGUUGGUGGGGUAAUGGCUCACCAAGGCAAUGAUCCGUAGCGGGUCUGAGAGGACGAUCCGCCACACUGGGACUGAGACACGGCCCAGACUCCUACGGGAGGCAGCAGUGGGGAAUUUUGGACGAUGGGGGAAACCCUGAUCCAGCCAUGCCGCGUGUAUGAAGAAGGCCUUAGGGUUGUAAAGUACUUUUGUUAGGGAAGAAAAGCUAGUUUUUAAUAAAAAUUAGUGAUGACGGUACCUAAAGAAUAAGCACCGGCUAACUACGUG
This 493-nucleotide ribosomal RNA is filed under the name uncultured bacterium. Its description in RNAcentral is "partial 16S ribosomal RNA". It matches the Rfam family "Bacterial small subunit ribosomal RNA", at positions 30 to 507 of the family's 1533-position model. The record is from RNAcentral.